RNAcentral lists this ribosomal RNA (488 nucleotides) under uncultured bacterium. RNAcentral describes it as "partial 16S ribosomal RNA". It matches the Rfam family "Bacterial small subunit ribosomal RNA", at positions 30 to 507 of the family's 1533-position model. The record is from RNAcentral.
UUGAACGCUGGCGGCAGGCCUAACACAUGCAAGUCGAACGGUAACAGGAAGAAGCUUGCUUCUUUGCUGACGAGUGGCGGACGGGUGAGUAAUGUCUGGGAAACUGCCUGAUGGAGGGGGAUAACUACUGGAAACGGUAGCUAAUACCGCAUAACGUCGCAAGACCAAGAGGGGGGACUUCGGGCCCCUUGCCCACGGAUGUGCCCAGAUGGGAUUAGCUAGUAGGUGGGGUAACGGCUCACCUAGGCGACGAUCCCUAGCUGGUCUGAGAGGAUGACCAGCCACACUGGAACUGAGACACGGUCCAGACUCCUACGGGAGGCAGCAGUGGGGAAUAUUGCACAAUGGGCGCAAGCCUGAUGCAGCCAUGCCGCGUGUAUGAAGAAGGCCUUCGGGUUGUAAAGUACUUUCAGCGGGGAGGAAGGGAGUAAAGUUAAUACCUUUGCUCAUUGACGUUACCCGCAGAAGAAGCACCGGCUAACUCCGUG